CGGCAUAUAUGUAGACCUUGCCUGGCUCUCUUUAUGGUCAGCCAAGGGGGACAGUAUAUGCUAGAGUGGUGUGGAGUUCCUGCCAGCUCUAACCAGCUGAAUCAGUGGCUGGGUAAAUCGCAGGGCUCCAACAUUC
Molecule: small nucleolar RNA, 136 nt
Filed under: Chinchilla lanigera (long-tailed chinchilla)
Lineage: Eukaryota; Metazoa; Chordata; Mammalia; Rodentia; Chinchillidae
Description: Small nucleolar RNA SNORA58 (ENSCLAG00000021919.1)
Rfam family: Small nucleolar RNA SNORA58
About the family: ACA52 is a member of the H/ACA class of snoRNA that guide the sites of modification of uridines to pseudouridines.
Source: Rfam by way of RNAcentral